GCAAUUCCCAUUUUGCGUCGCUGCUUCGCAGACACGAGCGGGGUGCGUUCCUCGUUAAGCGAGCCGAGGCUGCAUCGCAGUCACCCGGUGCGCGUAACGCAGUUAUUUUUUGAAUGCGGCACGGGAAAGUCGGGACGAGACGGCGCGAAGGAUAGCGCGGGGGAAGAGCGGAGACACACGGCCGAGGGGGGCAGCCCUGCUCCCGCCUCCCGCACCUCUGCCCGCGGCGCGGCCCGGGCUGCUCCCACGCGCCCCGCACCGCCGCGCCUCCCAGCGCCGUGCUGCCGGCACCGGGCAGCACCAAGCCGCUACGUGCCCGACCGGCUACAGGGGAAAAGAGCCAAGGGGAAAAAAAGAAAGGAAAAAAAAGUACAACUCGCGGCGCCGAGCGGACAACUUACUGACCGAGUCCCGCGUGCGGACCUCGCGCCAGGGGCGGCUCUCCGCGGAGCGCGGCCGCCCCUCGCUCCCGCCGGGCUGCCGCCCUCCCCGGGAGCGGAGCCGCGAGCCGACCCCGCGCGCCCCCUCGCUCCGCGCCCGGCUCCGCGGGAGGGGGUCGGCGCCGAGCCCGCCGUUCGCUCUCGCCCGCAACUCACCCAAGAAAGUUGCCGCGGCGGCAGCCGACGGCUCACCCUCCGCGCCGCUCGGCUGCGCUCCGCGCCCGGGAUGAGCUCACCCCGCCACCCGCUCCUCUCCGCUCCGCUCCGCCCGCCGCAGCUCUCGCGAGAGGGCCUGCCCCGCCGCCCGCGCGCCGGAGAGGCGGGGCGGGGGCGAGCGGCCCGCGCGCGUUCCCAUAGCAACGGCCAAACGCCGGGCCUAGCGGGCGGCCUGCGUCCCGCGCCCGCGUCGCCCCCGCUGCUCCCCGGGCACGUUCUGCUGCCUUGGGCCCAUCUGCCGGCCCCGGCCCCGGCCCCGCGAGUUUGGAAGCCCGGGGAGCUUAGGGGCAGAGGUGCCGCCGCUCGGCCCCCGAGGGGAAAGCCCUUGCUUUGUCCGAGGCUGCCACCCGCCUCGUGGCCCGGGGCGGGCUGA
This 1029-nucleotide long non-coding RNA is filed under the name Phasianus colchicus (ring-necked pheasant). RNAcentral describes it as "lncRNA (ENSPCLG00000007756.1)". Lineage: Eukaryota; Metazoa; Chordata; Aves; Galliformes; Phasianidae. The record is from RNAcentral.